GAUUAUUUAUCUUAAUUUAAAGUUCUUAUUUUGAAAAUAAGAUAUAGAAAGUAAUUUCUAAUAAUCU
This 67-nucleotide transfer RNA is filed under the name Echinolaelaps echidninus. RNAcentral describes it as "tRNA-Ser". Lineage: Eukaryota; Metazoa; Arthropoda; Arachnida; Mesostigmata; Laelapidae. The record is from RNAcentral.